This 600-nucleotide ribosomal RNA is filed under the name uncultured bacterium. RNAcentral's name for it is "bacterial SSU rRNA". It matches the Rfam family "Bacterial small subunit ribosomal RNA", at positions 90 to 690 of the family's 1533-position model. The record is from RNAcentral.
UGAGAGCGGCGUACGGGUGCGGAACACGUGUGCAACCUGCCUUUAUCUGGGGGAUAGCCUUUCGAAAGGAAGAUUAAUACCCCAUAAUAUGUUGAAUGGCAUCAUUCGACAUUGAAAACUCCGGUGGAUAGAGAUGGGCACGCGCAAGAUUAGAUAGUUGGUGAGGUAACGGCUCACCAAGUCUACGAUCUUUAGGGGGGCCUGAGAGGGUGAUCCCCCACACUGGUACUGAGACACGGACCAACUCCUACGGGAGGCAGCAGUGAGGAAUAUUGGACAAUGGGUGAGAGCCUGAUCCAGCCAUCCCGCGUGAAGGACGACUGCCCUAUGGGUUGUAAACUUCUUUUGUAUAGGGAUAAACCUACCCUCGUGAGGGUAGCUGAAGGUACUAUACGAAUAAGCACCGGCUAACUCCGUGCCAGCAGCCGCGGUAAUACGGAGGGUGCAAGCGUUAUCCGGAUCUAUUGGGUUUAAAGGGUCCGUAGCGGAUCUGUAAGUCAGUGGUGAAAUCUCACAGCUUAACUGUGAAACUGCCAUUGAUACUGCAGGUCUUGAGUGUUGUUGAAGUAGCUGGAAUAAGUAGUGUAGCGGUGAAAUGCA